UGUAUAAGACAUUAAGACGCAAAACCUUCACAGUGAAGUUGUAGCACUUGUAGCUGCACUGUUCUAUGACAGUAGUUACCAUUAUURUUAUCAACAUUUAACGCUUUUCAAUUUUUUCUACCACGAAUCACAAGUGAUUCAGUUUCAGACUAUUCAGACUGCAGUCCAUAGAAUACACUAAUACAGAUUGCAGUCUGCAGACUGCAAUAGCCAGUAGCAGUACUUUAUCUCUUUUCUAUGUGCAAGUACUUCACUUCACUCUUCAAUCAUCGGCUCAUCGACUCAUCACUUCAUCAGUAUUCAGUAAUGAAAAUGAUUCUAUUCUGUGAUGAUUGUCAAGUGAUGACCGAUCAGCAUGUGAUAUAUUUAAGAAUUAGAAAUUGCUUAAUGCAUAUUUAAUUAUUUCGUUUUCUAUUUUAAUAUUGUUACCUAUUUUUAAUUUAAAAUUAACAUUUUUAAAWGGUUAUUAACUACAGUAUCAACUACYAAUCACAGAAUAAAAYUUCAUGAUAAGUAAUAACAUUGUAAUUCUUUUAAAAAUGCGUUGCUGUGUAGCUUCAUGUAUUACAAAAAAAUUGAAAAAUACAAAAAUAAGUUUGUUUGGCAUACCUAAAAAUGAUUCUUUAAGACUUGAAUGGGAGAAAGCCUUAGGAAUGCGUUUUAAAGCUAGUUUUAGAGUAUGUCGUGACCAUUUUAAAAAGGAAGAUAUAAUUGAUACCUGGGUAUCUGGCCAAGGAUUAACCAAAUACACAAUUUUUUUAAAAAAACCCAAACUCCGCAAAGGUACUAUUCCUAUUGCUUUGAAGUCAUUUUGCACUGUCUCAUCUGUAUCUCAAAAUUUUAAAUCAAGUGUCRCACAGUCAAAAGUACCAAAAGAAUAUGAUGUUUUGAUUUCAAACAUCAACAAUGACCAUUGCUAUUACUUAGGUAAUGGUGAUACAUCGGAAAACACAAAACCAUUGGAUGAUGAUACAGUUUUAUCAUUAUCUCCACCUGAAAGAAUAGAGGUAAAACAAAUUUCAUAUUUUAAAGAUAUUUUAAAUCAAAUAAAUACAAUAAAUAUUCCUAAACAAUGGUUUUAUGAUGAUAUCUACGUGACCAAAAAAAAAAAAAUGAUCAGUUUUCAUAAAUUGGGACCAUACAAAGAUGACCUUACUAGAAGUAUAGAGAAACAAUUGAUUUUGACUGAAGAUUUACAAUUAUUACUCUAUGUUUAUAAUAAGAAAAUCAAUAUAUCUGAGAUARGACAUAUUAUAAGUGAAGUGAAUACUACUGUUAAUACAUGUGAAAAAUUACUAAAUAUAAUUAAAAAAUUUGAUGAAACUCUAGUAUGUCAAGGUGCUUUACCCUCAAAUCAAAUUGAUGAUGUUAAUUCUUCAUAUGGUUAUCAAUUUGUUGAAUCCUAUGGAAUGUGGAGACAUAUAAACUGCUGCACAAUACUUACUAAGGAUAAUAGUAUAAAUAGUAAUAUUUGUGUAUGGUGUAAACGUUUGUGUUAUAUUAUUAAAAAUAGAAAGUUACGCUUGAAAAAUAAUCAAACAAUCCGGAUAUUCUUUUCUCCAAAUCAGCAAAAGAUAUUAAAGCAAAUAAAAGCUCAGAAGAAUUUAAUGAAAAAAAGAUAUUGCAGAGCAACAAAAAGAAUUAUUUCCCUUCAAAAUCAGUUAAACGACCUUAAAAAAAAACCUAAAGAAAUCUCUGAAACUAGAGUUGAAGAGAUUUCAGAUCAAGACAGUUUAAACAUGUCAAUGUGUCAAUCUGAUCUGAUUUAUGUAUCAGAUGAUUCAAUUUAAUUAUUUAAUUUUGCUACAGACUUUAACCAUUUCCCACACCAAGAUGCAUUAGAGCUACAAAUAGUUGUAUAAUUGGUGGUGCUAAAAUAUCAACUAAUUUAGUAACUGCUUUUGRUGUGAACAGCAUCAUAUUCUCUUUGAUAUGUGUAUUUCUUUACAAUUACUACGUGUUAACAUCAACAUUAUCAAAUGUAUUCAACCUAAUGGAAUGUGAUUUUAUUUUGUUAUACUAUAACAAUUCAGGAAAUACAUCUUAAAAUAUUGAAUGCCUAAGUUGAUGAUCAGAAUGAUAUUUAACGAUUUAUCUUGAAUUGUUAUAGAAUCAUACUUMACAAUAUAAAAUUCACGAAAGAAGAAUUUGAUAGACUUACAAAAUUGUGCGAUCAUU
Molecule: unclassified non-coding RNA, 2178 nt
Organism: Diuraphis noxia (Russian wheat aphid)
Lineage: Eukaryota; Metazoa; Arthropoda; Insecta; Hemiptera; Aphididae
Source: RefSeq, a predicted model, not a curated record